This 86-nucleotide non-coding RNA is filed under the name Candidatus Pseudomonas excrementavium. Its description in RNAcentral is "Glycine riboswitch". The stretch from base 4 to 80 matches the Rfam family "Glycine riboswitch aptamer", at positions 11 to 84 of the family's 94-position model. Rfam says of the family: This family represents the bacterial glycine riboswitch. The record is from RNAcentral. Lineage: Bacteria; Pseudomonadati; Pseudomonadota; Gammaproteobacteria; Pseudomonadales; Pseudomonadaceae.
CAGCUGGAGAGAGGUUGCCAGGCAACCCACCGAAGGGGCAAGCAGUCCAUGACUGCGUAAACUCUCAGGUAAAAGGACAGGGGGAG